This 788-nucleotide ribosomal RNA is filed under the name Staphylococcus xylosus. Its description in RNAcentral is "bacterial SSU rRNA". It matches the Rfam family "Bacterial small subunit ribosomal RNA", at positions 26 to 804 of the family's 1533-position model. Lineage: Bacteria; Bacillati; Bacillota; Bacilli; Caryophanales; Staphylococcaceae. The record is from RNAcentral.
AGGAUGAACGCUGGCGGUGCCUAAUACAUGCAAGUCGAGAACAGAUAAGGAGCUUGCUCCUUUGAAGUUAGCGGGACGGGUGAGUAACACGUGGGUAACCUACCUAUAAGACUGGGAUAACUUCGGGAAACCGGAGCUAAUACCGGAUAACAUUUAGAACCGCAUGGUUCUAAAGUGAAAGAUGGUUUUUAUCACUUAUAGAUGGACCCGCGCCGUAUUAGCUAGUUGGUAAGGUAACGGCUUACCAAGGCGACGAUACGUAGCCGACCUGAGAGGGUGAUCGGCCACACUGGAACUGAGACACGGUCCAGACUCCUACGGGAGGCAGCAGUAGGGAAUCUUCCGCAAUGGGCGAAAGCCUGACGGAGCAACGCCGCGUGAGUGAUGAAGGGUUUCGGCUCGUAAAACUCUGUUAUUAGGGAAGAACAAAUGUGUAAGUAACUGUGCACAUCUUGACGGUACCUAAUCAGAAAGCCACGGCUAACUACGUGCCAGCAGCCGCGGUAAUACGUAGGUGGCAAGCGUUAUCCGGAAUUAUUGGGCGUAAAGCGCGCGUAGGCGGUUUCUUAAGUCUGAUGUGAAAGCCCACGGCUCAACCGUGGAGGGUCAUUGGAAACUGGGAAACUUGAGUGCAGAAGAGGAAAGUGGAAUUCCAUGUGUAGCGGUGAAAUGCGCAGAGAUAUGGAGGAACACCAGUGGCGAAGGCGACUUUCUGGUCUGUAACUGACGCUGAUGUGCGAAAGCGUGGGGAUCAAACAGGAUUAGAUACCCUGGUAGUCCACGCCGUA